Long non-coding RNA from Cygnus olor (mute swan), 6714 nucleotides. RefSeq lists it as uncharacterized. The transcript is spliced from 4 exons. The record is from RefSeq and is a predicted model, not a curated record. Lineage: Eukaryota; Metazoa; Chordata; Aves; Anseriformes; Anatidae.
UGGGGCUGGUAUGGAUGUAAUAAAGCGAGCCGAGGGUAUAGGGUGGCUCCUGGGCUGUGCUAACGGCCUCAUUCAGAGCUGGGGCUGCCAAGGGCUUGUCCUGAGGACACCUGGGUCCCUAAAUGGGGCAGGAGCAGGUGAGAGGCCGCCCGUCCUGUAACCGCUCCCUGGCAAGGGGCGAUUUCAUGUCGCUGGCUGAAUCCAACAGGCAGGAAAAUCACCUUCAGGAGCCGAGAGCUGCUGGGGGGAGUCCUGAAGGUGUUUGCUGCUGGCUCUUGAGCCCUGCAGUGCCACUGCUCUGCCCCCAGACCUGGCACCACUCGGCCGAGGGCUCCCCCUGCACGCCUGUUUCUUCCCAGUCCCUCUCCUUAGAAACCUCCUGGGGGUACUUGGAGUGGGAAAAAAGCUCUUUUUUAACAUUAAUGGGACGUGUCCUGGCUUCAUUGUUAGAGCCUAUUACCUGUAAGUGUUUUUAACUGCUGCUUUGUGAAGCUUGGGGUGUGCUUUAUGUUGGUGUAGAAAAUGGAACACACGUGGCAGGUGUGGGGGAUUGCUCGAUUCUCGCCUGCUGAAAUACAUCGGGGUGGUGUUUGCUUCUCCUUAGCUUCAGAGCUCGGGCUGGGCAUCCUCCCUGUGCUGGGCUUCGUCAGCUGGUUGCAGUACUGCUCCCUGUGCCUGCGAGCCCCCAUCCUGCCCACGGGCACUGCCCUGCAGUAGGGAGAGCGAAAGGAAACGCACUGGGUCUGCAGCGGGUUUAUCUCAUUGCUUUGGGCAGUAACUUAAUUUUUGCAAGCUGCUGGGAGCACGCUGUAAGGUGAAGAACCAGUGCAAGCUUUGAAGAGAGCCCUUUCUUCAAGGGCUUGUCGGGAAUUGAGGUAGGACCUGAGGAAAUGGCAUUGAGCUGUUUGAUUGAAGAUCUUGCUGUCGGUGAUGCUGACUCUGGGGGGUCACCGCUGCUGGUGCACAGCUGGUUUUGGGGUCCCCCUAGGGUUUGUAGAGCUGGGGGAGAUGGGCUGUGGGGAUCUCGCUGUCUCCCCUAGCAUUUUUCCUGGAGGGAAAGCUCUGUUAGAGGCUCAACCCUUCACCUUUCCUGUUAAAACGCGAUUACUCACCUGCGGGAGCAUGAGGAAGUACCCUGCAAACCCAGCCCAGACCGCACUUGACACUCCUAACUUACUGGAAGGGGAGAAACGCGUCCAGGAAGGCGAAGGGCCCUGACGACAGGAACCAAGUGCUGCUAAAUACAGACAUCCCUUUUUGGACUAAAAAGUCUUUUCUGUACCAUGCAUAUUUCCCCUGUUAAUCAUUUCCUUUUGUUCCUCGCAAACUUUGGUCUUCCAAUGUUGUAGGGGGAAUUAUGGCUGCCCUGGUUGUCAACUUUCCUUUCGUUAACCGGUGUGGUUGCUGUUUUCUUUUCAUCGUUGUACUCUGGUUACUCACCCUUUUCUUUCCCUUUUUUAAAAAAAAAAUGUCAUAUUUGGCCUUGGCUGGUCUUGAAAUAUUGGGGAUUUUACAGGCCAUUGAGCCUUGCUUGGUCCUAUUCACCGCUUCUGUGCCGAACUAAUUGGCUUGAUAACAAAGGCGAAGCGCUUCUCCUUCAAGAAGUCAUCUCUCUACUUGUGGCUCAGCAUGUGCUCUGCUCCUCCAUCCACCUCCCUCACCUCCAGGGCUUUGUUGUGCUCCCAUUUCCAUCCCUGCGUGCACUUUUUACCUGGUACACACACAUACAAGUAAAGCAGCUUCUUAGCUCAGUGCUGGUGUCAUGGAGAGCUGGUGUGCCACUCCAUGCCAGCAGUGGUUGUGGGGUGGAGAGGUUGAGGCUGGGGGAAGCCUUUCCCCAAAAAGCACCUGGAGCUCCAGCACCGUGCCAGGGAUGCUCCUGUGGCCGGGAGUUUGCAUUCCCCUUGUCCUCAGCCCCGAGGAGAGCCUAAAGCGUCAGUCAAUAAUAAGCUUAUAAGGCAGUAAAUCUUGGUAAUGAGAAAAACAGAAGACAGCAUCUGCUCAACACGGCGGUGCUGUGUAUGGUCGGGUAAACAGCUACUGAAACCAGUCACCCAUUGUUGUGGGGGUUACAGCUGGAGAGCUGAAUGGCCUGGCAAGACUGGUGGAGUUUGGGGGUGCUCUGGAGGAAAAAGGGUAAAAGCAGGGGAAUGUUUCGGCAUCCCUGUCACAUCUUCAGAGAUGUUGAAAUGAGAUGCGCCGGUGGGCGACAGGAGCAUGGGGAGGAGUGGGACAUGCAGGCAGUGUCAGUGUCCCUGUCCCCAUCCCACACCCGUGCUGGGGGUCCCACCCCAUGCCCACCCUGGUUUGCAAACCCAGUUAACCAGGUUUGUGAAUCCAGGGGAGGAGGGGAGAGAUCUGGGGAAGGGAUCUGCAUGUGGUGCACACUGCCUUUAUGAAUUGGGUCUUUAAUAAUUUACAUUACCAGUUUAAUACUUUGAAUACAAAUUAUCUCGCCCAUAUGCUGUGCUGACAAACAUAAAAAUGGAGUAAUCAAAGCUGUAAUAGCACUACAGCAAAAAGACAUAAAAUGCCACUAGAAGGCUUAGGAUAAAUUAUUGCCUGCACACGCUAGCGCUAUGGCUCCCUGGUGCCAGUGGAUGCAUUGCAAUUUCUCCCUCAGACUUUGCAUUUGGGCUCGAGGACUGGUGCCGUACCGGGAGCAGCGCCUCAGCUUCUGCUUAACAAAGAGGAGGAAAGGAAAAAGCUCGGACCCGUUUGAUAAACACCGCAAUUUCAAGUCUGCCCUGGCGGUUCCAUGGGCUGCGAAGAAAAUAUAGCCCUCUUAUUCGUAGGGAGCCCCUUCUUCCUCCGGCACGGUUAUUUGCAUGUAUUAUAAACAGCAGUGUUGGCUUGCCAUCUUCAGGCAACACAAACGCACUGCACAGCAUCCCUGCGCAUCCCUGAUGCUGCUGGCCCCCCGGUGCUGCCGGUGGCUCUGUGCUUCUUCCCAAAUAAAUCACCAGCGGGGGGGCUCCGGCAGCACCAAGACCCUCACCGAAGGCAGGGGAGCGGGGCAGCUCGUCCCCUGGGGCCCCGGCACGGCGAGGGCUUUCGCUGCCCAUGCAGGGGAGCGUGUCCGUGUCUCCGGCUCCGCAAAGAAGUUUUGGGCAGAUCAGGACCACAGAAACAUCCCCAUCCUCAUCCGGAGCAGGAUUUUCAGCACAAAAGGCUUUAUGAGACUCACAAAGCGUGGCAUCUAGUUCUGCACGUGAGCUCCGGGAGGCAGAGAUCAGAGUCCUGCUGGGCUGAAUGCCGCACGUACCGUAACAAAAAGGCAGUCGCGGUGCCAAACAACUUCCAGCCUUCUUCUUAAUAUAAGGAAUGCAGAAUUAAGAUUGCCAUAGCAACAUCUUGCUCAUAUUGCACGUAUAGAUAUGACUUGUCAGUCUUAUAUAUGUGUGUGUGUGCGUAAUGUAUGUAUACAAACCCUAAAUAUCUCUGGCACCUUUUUCUGCUGUUGGGUUGAUGCCUUGUGUGUUACAGCUCUCGGUGCUCUUCCCCCGCUGAUCCCCACCACGUCCAGGCUUUCUGUCCUCCUGGCCUCUGGGUUUCCAUCCGCUGUUUUCAAGCAAGCCAGCCGCCAGGAACGGGAUCAGUGCCCGUGUGCUCCUAUCGAAGCUUUCACCCAGCAAUUUGCAGAGGGCUGCAGAGCUCCCUUCCUGUAAUUGGCAGCCAAAAGCACCACGCUUCGUAGGAGGAAACAUCUUGGAUGGCUGCUGGAUCCGAGCAGGCUAUUUCCCGUAAUGAGGACGAAGAAAAUGAGCCUUCGCCAACGGGGUGACUGAGCCCCUCGCUGCAGGCAGGGAGGUGCUGUUGGUGUGUCAUUAAGACAUUUCUUGCACCCUGGCUAGUGGUGAGGGUGUUAGUGCCCAGAGCUCUAAACCAGCCCUUUUGCUGGGGUUGAAGCACAGCCAGGGUAUAAUCUCAGCUCCUUUUUCUGAAUGCAGCUGGUGGGGAUCUGGGGGAGACCCUGGUGUGUCCAAAAGCUGCCCUCCAGCCGUCCCCUGAAUGGGGCAGGACCGUGGGCUUGUGGCUGGGAGGAAGAAAGGGCAGAGUAAGGGAGAGAGGGGCUCAGAGCCACGGGGACCAGCAGGAGCCACCCUGCAGCAUCCCUGCCUGCAAGAGGACAGGGGCAGGAGGACAAACAGGGACAUUGUGCCCUCUCCCUUCCUCUCCUUGAUUUAUUGUCCUGCUGUGGGACACCGAACACCUUGAGUAACUUGUGUGCUGUUGGGCAAUGUAGGAGGAAAGCUUUUCUCAGAAAAUAAAACCCUCAAAAUUCUUGUUGGCCACAAAAUACGUCAACUGUAUCUGAACCGUCCCGGCCUGACAAAAUGGGGUGAAAUGGCUUUGGCUGAGGCCAUACGAAUCACAUGCACAGUUCAGCCUCUGCCAUACAAACCGUCCUGCUAACAAAAGCCUUUUCAGCAAAGGGGGGCUCUGAUGCUCCGUCCCACAGCAGCAUUGCCCCUGUCACUGUGUACUCAGAGUCCCGAAGGAAUACAAAGUUUUCCUUCUUUCCCUUGCCAUUUACUGCAGUUUUGGGUAGCUGGGCUGAAUGAGCAGGCUUUUCAGGUGCCAAACAAAAAGCCCAUUCUGGGGCAGCGAAGUGUGCGCACUGCACGGGGCUGGGGCCAUGGGGACAAAGCAGGAGGCGGCUGGACACGAGGCUGGUGGUUUGUCCUGAGUUUCUGUGGCAUAAAUAGACUUGUCUGUGCGUCCGUCUCUCCUGCAGAGGCCGUUCUGGAUUUCCCAGCCUGGUGUUGCUGGAUUCGACCCCUUCCUGGGGGUGCACAAGGGCCAGUAAUUAUUUUGGUAAGCACAAAGAGCUCCCUUGAGCCAGCCAAGGGAAAUGGAUAUGUCGCUGCCACUAAGCAGGCUCAGCCAAAAGGACAAGAUAAAUCGGCCCUAAAUAUGCCAAACAGCAUAGUGGUAUUUGUGGAGAACAACUAUUAUCUUUGUAUAGUUGACAAAAGUUAAUUGUCUCUUUUGCACUGACAAAAAUCAGCGUAGCAGUCAGCCUGUCCCCAUGUAGGGGGAAAAAAAAUCCUUCAUUUAUAAGCAAUUCAUUAAGCAGCAUUAAAGCUGUCUCUGAAGACAAAAUAAUCUUUUUAAAGAGGACUCAAGGUACUGAGAAGGAAGAUUAAUGCCUCAGCUACUUUUCAAUUAUGCAGGUUUUCAGUUGUUAGGGUAUACCUGGAUUAACUCUUUCUGAGCUGAGCACCUUGGCAGGCGCCGUGCCGUACCGAUGGGCGAUGCUCUGCAUCUAAAAAUAAAAAAUAAAUAAAAGGUUUGGGAGUAUUUUGCACCAAUUGCACUCUGUUUGGUCCUGGUGUUUGUGCCUGUAACCUCACCUCUGUGCCACAGGAGCCAAGAAGCUCUGAUUGCUGACCUUAAUUCAGUCUGCUUCUCCUGUGAUUGUAUGAGCGGUCCUUGCACACUCAAACGAGCCUGAAUUCUUCCAGCACUCUGCAGGUAUUUUUCUUCAGCGUGAUUUACGUCAGAGUUUCUGGCACUGUGUAAUUAGAAAAGGUCUCAUUGAUACCUCCACCAUCGUUUCUUUCCUUGCCGUUGCUUCCUCGAGUGCCAGACUUUUCUUAAUUGAAGCAGCGAAGAGUUCAUUUAGCAGGAAGGUGGGAGGAAGCAGCCUGAGAACGAUUCAUCUAAAUCACCCUGCCGAUGCAAACAGUUGCUCACUACAUCUAUCAUAAUUUCUUCCAAGUGUCGUACGAGAGAUUAGUCACCGUAACCAUGCAGAUGCACGCACGUGCCUGGCAGAGCUACCCAGACCUGCUCGUCUAGGGCAGCUGCAGAAAAAGACUGCUUCGUGCAGGUGUCAGUUUUGCACCAAAAGAAAGGCCUUUUUUAAAAAUUUAUUUUGGAAAUGGGACUCCCUGCACUUCACACUGCUAUGCCAGCAGAUAUUUUUAGGUGUAAGUGAGGCCAAAAUCUUUGUUGGGCAGAUUUGGUGCUCAUGUGGGUGCCCUUGCCUGGGGCAGCACCCACAUGAGAAGCCACCCUGCCCUGUAGCUGGGGGGAAGCAGUGGGGUUCAGCCUUAAUUUUCUUCCAGUUCUUCAGCAAUCAGCUGAUAACCAGUUGAUACCAAUAGGCAAAACCCCACCAGACGCCCCAGCUCAGCAAUCUCCUUGCUGUGGGGCUGGAGGGCAGUGCCAAAAGAAGGUAAUCCUCCUGGGUAUGGGUUUGCCAGGGCUCCUGAAAGCCUCCCCAGCCAGUGGAAAAGUGAUGGCAUUGUGCACAUCCCUGCAAAGUGCUCAGAAAGGACACCGACUUUUCCCUGCACUUCGGACACCACCUUCAUUAGUUUCAACCUGCAUAUGAACUCCAGGUCCUCUGAAGCCACAUCCCGGCUCUCCACAUCUAAAAUAUACCUGAAAGUGACUUAAAAGUGGUGAAAACGGCACCAGACCAGAACAGAAUGAAGGCAAAAGUUGAUGAAGGAUGCAGCCACUUGAGCUGCUCCCAAACUGCAGGAAGGUUCUGAAAGCAAACUGGGAAGAAGUCUGCGAAGAAAACUAUUUGGUUUAGAUGGAAAGAAAAUAUUUGCUAAACUGUACAGAAUUCAGUGCAAGUUCACCCAAAGGGCCAAGCUUCAAGCUGAAAUACUGUAUUUGACAAUUUGAAAAUGCACUAUUUUGAUUGUUAUGAUAAAAAUAAAAUAAAUAACAUAAAAUAAAACAAAACAUUUUGUU